This 1541-nucleotide long non-coding RNA is filed under the name Bos mutus (wild yak). RNAcentral describes it as "lncRNA (ENSBMUG00000012346.1)". Lineage: Eukaryota; Metazoa; Chordata; Mammalia; Artiodactyla; Bovidae. The record is from RNAcentral.
GUGGCAGAUACAUUAACAACACCCCUGACCUGAUGCAUGAGACAGAACAUCGUGCCAGGUCCGCAGGUGGUGGGAUGUCUUUACACUUAAGGUCCAGGUAGAUGGAGACAGAGGACAAGGCCACUGUCACAUUUCAGCAGCUCCUGGGUGAGGGCAGGUGGCCACAGCAGCGACACUGCCCUCAGUGAGAUCCCAGAGUCUCUGGCUGACCGCUUUCCUCCCUAUGCACUGGCCCUGCUCUCUCCAUAAGCGUGAUGAAUCCACUCAGACAAAGCUUUGGAUGGAUGGACGCCUUUCCCAGAGCCUUGGUCCCUUGAGUGGCCACUUUCUCCUGAACCCUAUUAGCCUAUGGUCCUGCCCCUCUGGACUCAGGGCAGAUAUGGCUUCUUAAGGACUUUCCUCAGUGUCCUUACUGGGCCCUCCCCUCCGAAGCAGCCUUGGUGGAGAAAGGAGGUGUCCAGCCCCUGCUUGGACAUUCAGAUCCUCCUGUCCCGUGUUCUGAUAACAAAGCCUUGACCUCCGUCUACACUCCUCACAAAUAUUCCUGUUUUUCUUUCCUAACCCCGGCUGCCUGCACAACAGAGGGAACUGGCCCCCAGCGUCCACCUCAGGAUGUGGUCCCUCUGGCAGCUCUGUCUCCCAGGCCUCCCUACCUGAUGCCAGGCCACCAGCUCCCAUCUACCAGGAAUUACUACACCCCGACACAGACGUUUACUGUAAUAUCAGCCACAAAGCAGAUGCGGGUCCUUAGUUCCUCCAGACACGUCUCCUUACGGACUGUGUGAAAGAGCUUACCUGAGACCCAAGACCCGAGUGAGGUCAAGAGGAAGAGCCUGAGGCAGAGAACCAGCUCUGAGACCUGAGGCUAUUCGGGAACCUAGGCCCAGGCUCAGGGUCCUCCUGGAUUCCUGGCAACACUGACAGGCUGCCCUGAAGCCUGGAUGGACCAGAACUCAGGCUGCGAUUCCCACAGUGGGGGGAGGUUUCAACAGGGCAAGUGACUGGGCCUGUGACCCACGGUGGACCACCAGAGAGAUCUGAAUCAAGAGCACUUUCCUUCCCCUGGUUGCAAAAUAUACUGCCCUUGGGUCUUGUCCAGCAAGAAAUUCACCUGAAUCUCUGCUCUGGUCUCUCCAUGGUUGCUCAGGGAAAGUAUUAGCUCUAGUUACCUGACCUCCCCAUCUAUUCCCUGGGGGAAAGGAAGGGGAAGAUUGUGAGAAUGGAGGGAGGGGGGCAUGCUAACAGGAAAGGAGGGUCACCAGACCAUUGGCAGCCACAUGGGCACUCGGCAGUCCUCACACUGCCCUGGGGUCCCAGACACCUCCCAGUGCUUGCUCACUUGGCAUGGAGUCUCUGGAGCACAGAAUAUGGGACCGUCUGAGACCCACUAGAACAUGAGUCAGGAAGGAUGAGUCGUGGGUGAGACAACUUUUAUGGGUGAGGCCCCUUUGCAGCCUCUUGGUGUCCUGAGCCCUUGGCCAUCCUCACCAAGCCCUGCUGGCCCCAACUUGUGCUGCCUCAAUUGAGUUUUAUUUGUUCAG